UACGGAAGGCAGCAGUGGGGAAUAUUGCACAAUGGGCGAAAGCCUGAUGCAGCUAUGCCGCGUGUAUGAAGAAGGCCUUAGGGUUGUAAAGUACUUUCAUCGGGGAGGAAAAACAAAACUAAUAAUUUUAUUUCUUGACGUUACCCGAAAAAGAAGCACCGGCUAACUCCGUGCCAGCAGCCGCGGUAAUACGGAGGGUGCUAGCGUUAAUCAGAAUUACUGGGCGUAAAGAGCACGUAGGUGGUUUUUUUAAAGUCAGAUGUGAAAUCCCUGGGCUUAACCUAGGAACUGCAUUUUGAAACUGAAAUACUAGAGUAUCGUAGAGGGAGGUAGAAUUCUAGGUGUAGCGGUGAAAUGCGUAGAUAUCUGGAGGAAUACCUGUGGCGAAAAGCGGCCUCCUAAACGAAUACUGACACUGAGGGUGCGAAAAGCGUGGGGAGCAAAACAGGGAUUAGAUACC
This 460-nucleotide ribosomal RNA is filed under the name uncultured bacterium. RNAcentral describes it as "bacterial SSU rRNA". It matches the Rfam family "Bacterial small subunit ribosomal RNA", at positions 340 to 786 of the family's 1533-position model. The record is from RNAcentral.